This 442-nucleotide ribosomal RNA is filed under the name uncultured bacterium. RNAcentral describes it as "partial 16S ribosomal RNA". It matches the Rfam family "Bacterial small subunit ribosomal RNA", at positions 338 to 795 of the family's 1533-position model. The record is from RNAcentral.
CCUACGGGUGGCAGCAGUGGGGAAUAUUGGGCAAUGGGCGCAAGCCUGACCCAGCAACGCCGCGUGAAGGAAGAAGGCUUUCGGGUUGUAAACUUCUUUUAAGGGGGAAGAGCAGAAGACGGUACCCCUUGAAUAAGCCACGGCUAACUACGUGCCAGCAGCCGCGGUAAUACGUAGGUGGCAAGCGUUGUCCGGAUUUACUGGGUGUAAAGGGCGUGCAGCCGGGACUGCAAGUCAGAUGUGAAAUCCGCGGGCUUAACCCGCGAACUGCAUUUGAAACUGCGGAUCUUGAGUAUCGGAGAGGUUAUCGGAAUUCCUUGUGUAGCGGUGAAAUGCGUAGAUAUAAGGAAGAACACCAGUGGCGAAGGCGGAUAACUGGACGGCAACUGACGGUGAGGCGCGAAAGCGUGGGGAGCAAACAGGAUUAGAUACCCUUGUAGUC